UGAAGCUUUACUGGAGCUGUUACAAGAGCGCCAGUUCCCGGUUGGUGAAUUGUAUCCUCUGGCCAGCGAGCGUAGCGCCGGAGCUACGG
This 89-nucleotide transfer RNA is filed under the name Yersinia nurmii. Its description in RNAcentral is "tRNA-Gly(ccc)". The record is from RNAcentral. Lineage: Bacteria; Pseudomonadati; Pseudomonadota; Gammaproteobacteria; Enterobacterales; Yersiniaceae.